Molecule: ribosomal RNA, 507 nt
Filed under: uncultured bacterium
Lineage: Bacteria
Description: partial 16S ribosomal RNA
Rfam family: Bacterial small subunit ribosomal RNA
Source: RNAcentral
GACGAACGCUGGCGGCGUGCCUAAUACAUGCAAGUCGAACGCAUUUUCUUUCACCGUAGCUUGCUACACCGAAAGAAAAUGAGUGGCGAACGGGUGAGUAACACUUGGUUAACCUGCCCAUCAGCGUGGGAUAACACUUGGAAACAGGUGCUAAUACCGCAUAAUUCCAUUUACUGCAUGGUAGAUGGAUGAAAGGCGCUUUUGCGUCACUGAUGGAUGGACACGCGGUGCAUUAGCUAGUUGGUGGGGUAACGGCCUACCAAGGCUGCGAUGCAUAGCCGGCCUGGGGAGGUGGUCGGCCACCCUGGGACUGAGACACGGCCCAGACUUCUACGGGAGGCAGCAGUAGGGAAACUUCGGCAAUGGACGCAAGUCUGACCGAGCAACGCCGGGGGAGGGAAGAAGGGUUUCGGAUCGGAAAACUCUGUUGUUAGAAAAGAACAAGAAUGAGAGUGGAAAGUUCAUCCCUUGACGGUAUCUAACCAGAAAGCCACGGCUAACUACGUG